RNAcentral lists this ribosomal RNA (482 nucleotides) under uncultured bacterium. RNAcentral's name for it is "partial 16S ribosomal RNA". It matches the Rfam family "Bacterial small subunit ribosomal RNA", at positions 28 to 507 of the family's 1533-position model. The record is from RNAcentral.
GACGAACGCUGGCGGCGUGCUUAACACAUGCAAGUCGAACGAUGAAGAAGAGAAACGCGAACUUCGGUUCAAAUUUCACUUCGGAUUAGUGGCAGACGGGUGAGUAACGCGUGAGCAACCUACCUCUUACAAAGGGAUAGCCUCGGGAAACCGUGAUUAAUACCAUAUGACACAUUCAUAAGGCAUCUUAAGAAUGUUAAAGCUACGGCGGUAAGAGAUGGGCUCGCGUCCCAUUAGCUAGUUGGUGAGGUAACGGCCCACCAAGGCGACGAUGGGUAACCGGGCUGAGAGGGUGAACGGUCACAUUGGAACUGAGACACGGUCCAAACUCCUACGGGAGGCAGCAGAGGGGAAUAUUGCAAAAUGGAGUGAACUCUGAUGCAGCGACGCCGCGUGAGCGAUGAAGGAAGUCGUGUCGUAAAGCUCUGUUCUAUGGGAAGAAAAGGACUGUACCAAAGGAGAAAGCCCCGGCUAAAUACGUG